GGUUUAGAUGCAGAGAAGGGUUUGGGGCCACUUCGUAUCAGACCACUCUGAGCCUUCAAGGCAGGGUUCUUGUGAGUCUUCAUGUCAUCAGAUACGUGUUUCAGGGCAUGUAUGAUGCUCUCCCCCUGAUUAAUCUGCGCAAACAGUGCUGAGCGUGAAGCAGAGUCAUCUGAGCCUGAACUGGCCCCGUUCUGCUCCAGGCCAGUCCGGUGGUAUGGAACUCCUUAAUGUAAGCCUGCAGCUCUGUCCAUAUACUCAAAGACCAGGCUUGGGAGCCAUAGCCACCCAACCCAGGGCCUGGAUACUUUCGCUGACAGCUGACAGGUGAUUGAACAACUUGCUGCCUCGGUUCUUCUCCCGGAAGGUCACCACUUCUUGGAUCUGCUCGGAGAUGGGUGCCAACAAGUCAGAAAGUUUGUUGCCUGCUGGCUGCUGGCACUGAGAGGCUGUAACCAAGAGAGCUCGCUCUAACUUCAGACCUGUGUGGACCAUCUCCGCAUGUUUCUGCACAUCUCCCCCACUCUCUUUACUGAUCUUGAGGUACUCUGCCACAGGACCGGCCAGCAGUGAGUCAAAUGCUUGCACAUAUGGAGUCGUUCCUUUUGCAGCACUGUCUCCAUACCCACAGUGUGUGUCAGAGGCAUGGGAGACUGCCUCCAGGCGGCCCACCACUCUCUCCAAUCUUUCUACCAGAUUUCGCAUGUCAGCCAUAAUGUACCACCUCAGACUUCUGUCUCACCUCCGGACCGCGAUUGGCCUCUCUCUACUUCCGGCAAGAACCGCCCAGCAACCUUUGCGCCUAUACAUACCCAUUUUUUUAAAAGGAGUAUCUUUUAAGCUAAGUGAAACCCUCACGCUGGAAUUCACCUUGGCUGACAGAUGUUUGCGCCACCAGGAAGGACCCAAGUCCGACCACAUACGGGCAACUAGCAAGAUGAUUGGCCAAAGACAACCAGGAAAACUGAUGCCAUUGCCAUAAAACCUGAGGCUGUGAGCCACAUGGCAGAGCAGUUCUCCUGGGUUCCCUUAACCUGCCCUUCUCCACCUGGGUACCCCUUUCCAAUAAAGUCUUGGGCUUUGUCACGUCAGUACGUGUGUCUCCUUGGACAAUUCAUUUCUGACUAUUAGACAAGAGCCCACUCUCGGGUCCUAAAG
This is a long non-coding RNA of Bos taurus (domestic cattle), 1155 nucleotides long. NCBI's taxonomy places the organism in Eukaryota, Metazoa, Chordata, Mammalia, Artiodactyla, Bovidae. The record is from Ensembl.